GGAGAAGAAGGAACUGAGAAGAAGGUAUCAGCAACAACAGGUUUUAUUACGGGACAGCUCAUGAUGUUCAUAUCGAUCUAUUAUGCGCCUCUGCAUCUAGCAUUGGGUAGACCUCAUACAAUAACUGUCCUAGCUCUACCCUAUCUUUUGUUUCAUUUCUUCUGGAACAAUCACAAACACUUUUUUGAUUAUGGAUCUACUACCAGAAAUUCAAUGCGUAAUCUUAGCAUUCAAUUUGUAUUCCUGAAUAAUCUCAUUUUUCAAUUAUUCAACCAUUUCAUUUUACCAAGUUCAAUGUUAGUCAGAUUAGUCAACAUUUAUAUGUUUCGAUGCAACAACAAGAUGUUAUUUGUAACAAGUAGUUUUGUUGGUUGGUUAAUUGGUCACAUUUUAUUCAUGAAAUGGGUUGGAUUGAUAUUAGUCUGGAUACAGCAAAAUAAUUCUAUUAGAUCUAAUGUACUUUUUCGAUCUAAUAAGUACCUUGUGUCAGAAUUGAGAAAUUCUAUGGCUCGAAUCUUUAGUAUUCUCUUAUUUAUUACCUGUGUCUACUCUUUAGGCAGAAUACCGUCACCCAUUUUUACUAAGAAACUGAAAGAAACCUCAGAAACGGAAGAAAGGGAGGAAGAAACAGAUGUAGAAAUAGAAAAAACUUCCGAAACGAAGGGGACUAAACAGGAACAAGAGGGAUCCACCGAAGAAGAUCCUUCUUCUUCCCUUUUUUCGGAAGAAAAGGAGGAUCCGGACAAAAUCGACGAAACGGAAGAGAUCCAAGUGAAUGGAAAGGAAAAAACAAAGGAUGAAUUCCAUUUUCACUUUAAAGAGACAUGCUAUAAAAAUAGACCACUUUAUGAAACUUUUUAUCUGGAUGGGAAUCAAGAAAAUUCGAAGUUAGAAAUAUUGAUAGAUAAAAAAAAUAAAGAUCUUUUCUGGUUUGAAAAACCUCUUGUAACUAUUCUUUUUGACUCUAAACGUUGGAAUCGUCCAUUUCGAUAUAUAAAAAAUGAUCAGUUUGAGAAUGCUGUAAGAAAAGAAAUGUCACAAUAUUUUUUUUAUACAUGUCGGAGUGAUGGAAAAGAAAGAAUAUCUUUUACGUAUCCACCCAGUUUGUCAACUUUUUUGGAAAUGAUACAAAGAAAGAUAUCUCUGUUUACAACAGAAAAACUCUCCUCUGAUGAAUUGUAUAAUCGUUGGAAUUAUAAGAAUGAACAAAAAAAGAAAAUCCUAAAUAAUGAAUUUAUAAAUAGAGUCCAGGCUCUAGAUAAGGAAUAUCUUACUCUGAAUACACUCGAAAAAAGGACUAGACUAUGUAAUGAUAAAACUAAAAAAAAGUACUUACCUAAAAUUUAUGAUCCCUUUUUGAGUGGGUCCUGCCGCGGGAAAAUCCAAUUUUUUUUUUCACCCUCACUCCUAAAUAAAACUUCCAUAAAAAAUUCAAUAGAGAUGCUUUGGAUAAAUAAAAUUCAUCUUAUUCUUCUUAUUACUAAUUAUCAAGAAUUUGAAUCAAAAACAGAUGGAUUUAAUAGAAAAGCAUUUUCAAUAGAAAAUGCUUAUUUCUUAAACUUAAUUAAUGAAUUUGUUGGAAAAUCAAGAUCAAGUUUAAAUUUUAAGGAACUUCCCUUAUUUCCAGAUCACAAAGAAGAAAAAAUGUAUUUAGAAAAUCGAAUAAAAAUUUUAAAAUUUUUAUUUCAUACAGUUAUAGCGAAUCCAAAAAAUAAAACAAUUAUAAAAAAUUCUACUGGAAUAAAAGAAAUAAGUAAACAAGUUCCUCGAUGGUCAUACAAAUUAAUUGACGAUUUGGAACAACAAGAGGGAGAAAAUGAAGAAAACAUGUCGGAAGAUUAUGAAAUUCGUUCACGAAAAGCCAAACGGGUAGUGAUUUUUACUGAUAAUAAAAAAAAUACAGAUACUUAUAAUAAUACCAAAGAUACAACGAAUUCUGAUCAAAUAGAAGAAGUGACUUUGAUACAUUAUUCACAACAAUCGGAUUUUCGCCGAGACAUAAUAAAAGGAUCCGUGCGCGCACAAAGACGCAAAAUAGCUAUUUGGGAACUGUUUCAAGCAAAUGUGCAUUCUCCUCUUUUUUUGGACAGAAUAGACAAAUCUCUUUUUUUUUCUUUUGAUAUUUCCGAACUGAUAAAAACAAUGUUUAUAAAUUGG
RNAcentral lists this unclassified non-coding RNA (2157 nucleotides) under Hevea brasiliensis (rubber tree). The record is from RNAcentral. Lineage: Eukaryota; Viridiplantae; Streptophyta; Magnoliopsida; Malpighiales; Euphorbiaceae.